CGCAUGAAACUCCAUCACUGUUAGUUUAAGUUCAAACCAAUAUAACUUUCAACUGGAUUAAGCAGGCACGGCCAACUAUACUUGAGACAACUAAGUCCCUCAAAAGAGACAUCAGUCAACCUGAAUUUACAGGUGAAAAAUCAUAAGAGGGAGAACAAUAUAAAGCUUCAUGGUGCUCUAACUCCUCAUCGUUACCUCAUAAAGGUGCUUCUCAUAUUGAUUGAAGAAAUUAGAAGCAAUAA
Long non-coding RNA from Rhodamnia argentea, 242 nucleotides. RefSeq lists it as uncharacterized. The record is from RefSeq and is a predicted model, not a curated record. Lineage: Eukaryota; Viridiplantae; Streptophyta; Magnoliopsida; Myrtales; Myrtaceae. The transcript is spliced from 2 exons.